Bombus huntii is the source of this 827-nucleotide long non-coding RNA. RefSeq lists it as uncharacterized. The record is from RefSeq and is a predicted model, not a curated record. Lineage: Eukaryota; Metazoa; Arthropoda; Insecta; Hymenoptera; Apidae. The transcript has 2 exons.
AAUUGAUACACAGUGCAUAGUACGUAAAAAAAAAUUAAUACAAUGCAAUCUUUUUCUUAGAAUUCUUAGAAGUUACGAAAUGUUUAAUGUAUAAAAUUAUCGUGUGUAAGCCGGCGAAGGGGAAACAUAUUGAAUGUAUGCUGUAAAGGUAAUGUCUCACUGACAAAAACAGCUUGUAACUCAGAAAUAGUUUUCUACAACUUGCAAGAGUAACUUGCGUUUCGAUUAGGUUUUUAAAAAUUCAAAAUAUAGUAAAAUCAUUCUAAAAACGUUUAAUUUUCUCAUUUUCAUACUAACUACUUCCUUGCUAUUCUUCCCAAUCUACCAAUUUCACUACAUUCAUACAUAUUUUAUGAAAAAUUUCAUACUUCCCCUCCAUGUAAUUUAUAAGAGAGAUUUAUAUGAGGAUUUAUCAGAAUUAAUAAGGAGUGUUAAGCUUUGUAUUAAGUCUUGCUGCAAAAUGCAUAAAAUGCUUUUACUAUAUUUUGAAUUUUUGGAAACCUAAUCAAAACCUAAAUUAUGCAUGCAGAUUGUAGUAUAUGUAUAUAUCUUAUAAAACAAGGUUUAAACAUGUAUCUAGUAAAUUAGAAAGCGAACUUUUUAAAUUCGUUCACAAUAAAAAUCACAGAAAAUCAAUUGAUAACAGGAUUGUUGUUUUAAUAACUUUUUAUGAAUAAAAACUCAUAAUUUAUUUUUGGUAUUUAUAUUUAUCAACACCUUAUAAGCUCUACAAUAAUUUUAUUUAUAUACACAGUAUAUACUUUUCUCGUUGUACCUUUAUAGAACUAGAAAAACAGAAAAUUUAUUAUACAACAAAUUCUAAACAA